RNAcentral lists this ribosomal RNA (2673 nucleotides) under Salmonella enterica subsp. enterica serovar Enteritidis. RNAcentral describes it as "partial 23S ribosomal RNA". It matches the Rfam family "Bacterial large subunit ribosomal RNA". Lineage: Bacteria; Pseudomonadati; Pseudomonadota; Gammaproteobacteria; Enterobacterales; Enterobacteriaceae. The record is from RNAcentral.
ACCGGCGAUACCCGAAUGGGGAAACCCAGUGUGAUUCGUCACACUAUCAUUAACUGAAUCCAUAGGUUAAUGAGGCGAACCGGGGGAACUGAAACAUCUAAGUACCCCGAGGAAAAGAAAUCAACCGAGAUUCCCCCAGUAGCGGCGAGCGAACGGGGAGGAGCCCAGAGCCUGAAUCAGCAUGUGUGUUAGUGGAAGCGUCUGGAAAGGCGCGCGAUACAGGGUGACAGCCCCGUACACAAAAGCGCAUGUGCUGUGAGCUCGAUGAGUAGGGCGGGACACGUGGUAUCCUGUCUGAAUAUGGGGGGACCAUCCUCCAAGGCUAAAUACUCCUGACUGACCGAUAGUGAACCAGUACCGUGAGGGAAAGGCGAAAAGAACCCCGGCGAGGGGAGUGAAAAAGAACCUGAAACCGUGUACGUACAAGCAGUGGGAGCACCCUUUGGGUGUGACUGCGUACCUUUUGUAUAAUGGGUCAGCGACUUAUAUUCUGUAGCAAGGUUAACCGAAUAGGGGAGCCGGAGGGAAACCGAGUCUUAACCGGGCGUUAAGUUGCAGGGUAUAGACCCGAAACCCGGUGAUCUAGCCAUGGGCAGGUUGAAGGUUGGGUAACACUAACUGGAGGACCGAACCGACUAAUGUUGAAAAAUUAGCGGAUGACCUGUGGCUGGGGGUGAAAGGCCAAUCAAACCGGGAGAUAGCUGGUUCUCCCCGAAAGCUAUUUAGGUAGCGCCUCGUGAAUUCAUCUCCGGGGGUAGAGCACUGUUUCGGCUAGGGGGCCAUCCCGGCUUACCAACCCGAUGCAAACUGCGAAUACCGGAGAAUGUUAUCACGGGAGACACACGGCGGGUGCUAACGUCCGUCGUGAAGAGGGAAACAACCCAGACCGCCAGCUAAGGUCCCAAAGUCAUGGUUAAGUGGGAAACGAUGUGGGAAGGCCCAGACAGCCAGGAUGUUGGCUUAGAAGCAGCCAUCAUUUAAAGAAAGCGUAAUAGCUCACUGGUCGAGUCGGCCUGCGCGGAAGAUGUAACGGGGCUAAACCAUGCACCGAAGCUGCGGCAGCGACACUGUGUGUUGUUGGGUAGGGGAGCGUUCUGUAAGCCUGUGAAGGUGUGUCGUGAGGCAUGCUGGAGGUAUCAGAAGUGCGAAUGCUGACAUAAGUAACGAUAAAGCGGGUGAAAAGCCCGCUCGCCGGAAGACCAAGGGUUCCUGUCCAACGUUAAUCGGGGCAGGGUGAGUCGACCCCUAAGGCGAGGCCGAAAGGCGUAGUCGAUGGGAAACGGGUUAAUAUUCCCGUACUUGGUGUUACUGCGAAGGGGGGACGGAGAAGGCUAUGUUGGCCGGGCGACGGUUGUCCCGGUUUAAGCGUGUAGGUGUGUGUUCCAGGUAAAUCCGGUUCACUUUAACACUGAGGCGUGACGACGAGGCACUACGGUGCUGAAGCAACAAAUGCCCUGCUUCCAGGAAAAGCCUCUAAGCAUCAGGUAACAUCAAAUCGUACCCCAAACCGACACAGGUGGUCAGGUAGAGAAUACCAAGGCGCUUGAGAGAACUCGGGUGAAGGAACUAGGCAAAAUGGUGCCGUAACUUCGGGAGAAGGCACGCUGACACGUAGGUGAAGUGAUUUACUCAUGGAGCUGAAGUCAGUCGAAGAUACCAGCUGGCUGCAACUGUUUAUUAAAAACACAGCACUGUGCAAACACGAAAGUGGACGUAUACGGUGUGACGCCUGCCCGGUGCCGGAAGGUUAAUUGAUGGGGUCAGCGCAAGCGAAGCUCCUGAUCGAAGCCCCGGUAAACGGCGGCCGUAACUAUAACGGUCCUAAGGUAGCGAAAUUCCUUGUCGGGUAAGUUCCGACCUGCACGAAUGGCGUAAUGAUGGCCAGGCUGUCUCCACCCGAGACUCAGUGAAAUUGAACUCGCUGUGAAGAUGCAGUGUACCCGCGGCAAGACGGAAAGACCCCGUGAACCUUUACUAUAGCUUGACACUGAACAUUGAGCCUUGAUGUGUAGGAUAGGUGGGAGGCUUUGAAGUGUGGACGCCAGUCUGCAUGGAGCCGACCUUGAAAUACCACCCUUUAAUGUUUGAUGUUCUAACGUGGACCCGUUACCCGGGUUGCGGACAGUGUCUGGUGGGUAGUUUGACUGGGGCGGUCUCCUCCUAAAGAGUAACGGAGGAGCACGAAGGUUGGCUAAUCCUGGUCGGACAUCAGGAGGUUAGUGCAAUGGCAUAAGCCAGCUUGACUGCGAGCGUGACGGCGCGAGCAGGUGCGAAAGCAGGUCAUAGUGAUCCGGUGGUUCUGAAUGGAAGGGCCAUCGCUCAACGGAUAAAAGGUACUCCGGGGAUAACAGGCUGAUACCGCCCAAGAGUUCAUAUCGACGGCGGUGUUUGGCACCUCGAUGUCGGCUCAUCACAUCCUGGGGCUGAAGUAGGUCCCAAGGGUAUGGCUGUUCGCCAUUUAAAGUGGUACGCGAGCUGGGUUUAGAACGUCGUGAGACAGUUCGGUCCCUAUCUGCCGUGGGCGCUGGAGAACUGAGGGGGGCUGCUCCUAGUACGAGAGGACCGGAGUGGACGCAUCACUGGUGUUCGGGUUGUCAUGCCAAUGGCACUGCCCGGUAGCUAAAUGCGGAAGAGAUAAGUGCUGAAAGCAUCUAAGCACGAAACUUGCCCCGA